GACGGUUCUUGGGUGAUGCACCCCGGUAUCAGGCUCCCACCUCUCUGAUCCCGGGUUUGUCACCUGAGAACUGCA
Molecule: non-coding RNA, 75 nt
Organism: Myotis davidii
Lineage: Eukaryota; Metazoa; Chordata; Mammalia; Chiroptera; Vespertilionidae
Source: Rfam